AUGGCGAAGGUGAGGUGGGCAUCAUCCAGUUUUAAAGGGGAGGGCUCCAGCAAGAAAUGUACUGCUACGGCGAGAAACCGAGCUGGAAAGGGAGCGUCCAGCAGAAAAAUGGCAGGGUGCGUCAGGGGGUGGCAUUUUGCAGAAUGGUCUGGGGAGGUUCGCAACAUUGUCUACUCAUCUGAUGGGAAAAUCUCUAUCUGUUGCGUAUCGUGUGACUAUAGAACUGAUGCAGAGGUGCCCUUCUUUGCUUGGGAGUUUGAAUCCGGUUUGGCUCUCACCGAUCUUGCCUGCUCAGUUUUUGAGUAUGAUGGCGAGGCAUCGUGUUGUGGUGGCGGUGAUGAAGGUAACCUCGUCGAUGGCGGCGGCGACGGGUGGCUGUUGACGAAAGCGAUUCGGGGAUGGGGGAUGUGGAGUGGCAAGGGAUGGAGGCGUAGAACUGCAGCCGGGGAGACGGAGUGGCGGCAAGAUUGGACGAGCUCGCCUGCGGAGUGCGUGGGCAAGAUUUCCCUUUCCGGGUCAAACGAGGGCUUCCUUCUGUGUCGUGGACGGAAACUGCCAGCAUGGACGGCCUACUCCUAUGAUCUCACAGCUUGUUGUGUCAAGGAGCAUGUGGUGAGGGAGAGAGAGAAAGGGAAAAUGGAAGCCAAGUGA
RNAcentral lists this ribosomal RNA (651 nucleotides) under Triticum aestivum (bread wheat). RNAcentral describes it as "partial small subunit ribosomal RNA". Lineage: Eukaryota; Viridiplantae; Streptophyta; Magnoliopsida; Poales; Poaceae. The record is from RNAcentral.